CCUACGGGAGGCAGCAGUGGGGAAUAUUGGACAAUGGGGGGAACCCUGAUCCAGCGACGCCGCGUGAGUGAAGAAGUAUUUCGGUAUGUAAAGCUCUAUCAGCAGGGAAGAAAAUGACGGUACCUGACUAAAAAGCCCCGGCUAACUACGUGCCAGCAGCCGCGGUAAUACGUAGGGGGCAAGCGUUAUCCGGAUUUACUGGGUGUAAAGGGGGCGGAGACGGGGCAGCAAGUCUGGAGUGAAAGGCCGGGGCCCAACCCCGGGACUGCAUUUGAAACUGUUUGGCUGGAGUGCAGGAGAGGCAGGCGGAAUUCCUAGUGUAGCGGUGAAAUGCGUAGAUAUCAGGAGGAACACCGGUGGCGAAGGCGGCUUACUGGACUGUAACUGACGUUGAGGCUCGAAAGCGUGGGGAGCAAACAGGAUUAGAUACCCCUGUAGUC
This 440-nucleotide ribosomal RNA is filed under the name uncultured bacterium. RNAcentral describes it as "partial 16S ribosomal RNA". It matches the Rfam family "Bacterial small subunit ribosomal RNA", at positions 338 to 795 of the family's 1533-position model. The record is from RNAcentral.